This 466-nucleotide ribosomal RNA is filed under the name uncultured bacterium. RNAcentral describes it as "bacterial SSU rRNA". It matches the Rfam family "Bacterial small subunit ribosomal RNA", at positions 355 to 825 of the family's 1533-position model. The record is from RNAcentral.
UAGGGAAUAUUGGGCAAUGGAGGGAACUCUGACCCAGCCAUGCCGCGUGCAGGAUGAAGGCGUUAUGCGUUGUAAACUGCUUUUAUAUAGGAAGAAAUAGUCCUUGCGAGGAAAGUUGACGGUACUAUAUGAAUAAGCACCGGCUAACUCCGUGCCAGCAGCCGCGGUAAUACGGAGGGUGCAAGCGUUGUCCGGAUUUAUUGGGUUUAAAGGGUGCGUAGGCGGUUUAUUAAGUCAGUGGUGAAAGACGGUCGCUCAACGAUUGCAGUGCCAUUGGUACUGGUAGACUUGAGUAUGAUUGAGGUAGCUGGAAUGGAUAGUGUAGCGGUGAAAUGCAUAGAUAUUAUCCAGAACACCAAUUGCGUAGGCAAGUUACUAAGUCAUAACUGACGCUGAGGCACGAAAGUGUGGGUAUCAAACAGGAUUAGAUACCCCUGUAGUCCCUGAGCGGGCUGGCAAGGCGCAU